GCCCUCGUAGCUCAGGGGAUAGAGCACCGCUCUCCUAAAGCGGGUGUCGCAGGUUCGAAUCCUGCCGAGGGCA
Non-coding RNA from Mycobacterium sp. 852002-51759_SCH5129042, 73 nucleotides. NCBI's taxonomy places the organism in Bacteria, Bacillati, Actinomycetota, Actinomycetes, Mycobacteriales, Mycobacteriaceae. The record is from Rfam.